GACGAACGCUGGCGGCGUGCUUAACACAUGCAAGUCGAACGGAAAGGCCCUGCUUUUGUGGGGUGCUCGAGUGGCGAACGGGUGAGUAACACGUGAGUAACCUGCCCUUGACUUUGGGAUAACUUCAGGAAACUGGGGCUAAUACCGGAUAGGAGCUCCUGCUGCAUGGUGGGGGUUGGAAAGUUUCGGCGGUUGGGGAUGGACUCGCGGCUUAUCAGCUUGUUGGUGGGGUAGUGGCUUACCAAGGCUUUGACGGGUAGCCGGCCUGAGAGGGUGACCGGCCACAUGGGGACUGGGAUCCGGCCCAGACUCCUACGGGAGGCAGCAGUGGAGAAUAUUACACAAUGGGCGGAAGCCUGAUGCAGCAACGCCGCGUGCGGGAUGACGGCCUUCGGGUUGAAAACCGCUUUCGCCUGUGACGAAGCGUGAGUGGCGGUAAUGGGUAAAGAAGCACCGGCUAACUACG
RNAcentral lists this ribosomal RNA (466 nucleotides) under uncultured bacterium. RNAcentral describes it as "partial 16S ribosomal RNA". It matches the Rfam family "Bacterial small subunit ribosomal RNA", at positions 28 to 505 of the family's 1533-position model. The record is from RNAcentral.